UCGGGCAUGUAAACUUUAUUCUGACAAGAGAUCUAUCUAAAACUCCCAAAGCAACUAGGAGUCGAACAUAGUAACAAAGAAGAAAUUUAAAAGCAACGGAAGAAGAAGUAAUCAGAACAUCCCAUGAGUCAAAACCUUCAUCAGAAGGCAUGAACAGAUAGAGCUCGAUGGCAGGCUAAGUCGCUUGCAGAACAUUAAAAUUGCUUAGUAUUCUUUUGGCAGGCUGAUUCACAGAAUCACAUAAGAGGCAGCAGUUGCGAGAGCUCGCUUUGCUAAACUUGAGAGAAAACAGUCCCGGGCCAAGCUGUAGUGUUUCCCCCAUUCAAUUCAAAUGCAAUGAAAAACCCAAAAACAGGACGCUUAGAGAGCAUGACAUACCGAAUUACCGAUAAAAGUAUGUGUGCAUAACUGACCUAGUAGUGUUGGUGACGUCUGCUCUUGCUUCUUCUUCUUGGCCUCAGAUCCACACUAGUUAAGCUAAGCACCAAGAAAAGCUUAUCAGCUUCUCACACAGGGAAAAAGAGGAUAAUGUUAAAUACAAAAGAAAGAAUGUAAAAUAGCGGUCAUAACAGUAAAAUCUUCAUAAAAAAAGAAGAAAAAAUAGCGGUCUUAGAUGGUUGAUGCAUUGCAAACCAUUAAGAUACAUUCUUUAGAUUUAUUCAUGUGUUGAACUUGUGGUAUAAUAAUAUAUACAUAUGU
Molecule: long non-coding RNA, 699 nt
Filed under: Arabidopsis lyrata
Lineage: Eukaryota; Viridiplantae; Streptophyta; Magnoliopsida; Brassicales; Brassicaceae
Description: long non-coding RNA (ALYR_LNC002258)
Source: RNAcentral